This 118-nucleotide small nuclear RNA is filed under the name Gorilla gorilla gorilla (western lowland gorilla). Its description in RNAcentral is "U4 spliceosomal RNA (ENSGGOG00000041349.1)". Lineage: Eukaryota; Metazoa; Chordata; Mammalia; Primates; Hominidae. The record is from RNAcentral.
AGCUCUGCAGUGGCAGUAUCAUAGCCCCUUAUCUAAGGCACGAUCAUUGCUAAUUGAGAACUAUUCCCAAUACCUCGCCAUGAUGACUUGAAAUAUGGUCUGCAAUAGCAAUUUCUUU